UGUUAAAAAUUUCAUUCAUUUUUACGGUUAAAAACCAAUGUAGUUGAUGAAAUAAUCAUACAAUUACACAUGGCAUGUCACGUAUACCUCAAGUUGGCAUACCUAGACUAAUUUUUAAUAGUAAAAAUGAAUAAUUUUUUUAACA
This is a non-coding RNA of Gossypium arboreum, 145 nucleotides long. The record is from Rfam. NCBI's taxonomy places the organism in Eukaryota, Viridiplantae, Streptophyta, Magnoliopsida, Malvales, Malvaceae.